RNAcentral lists this ribosomal RNA (517 nucleotides) under Wickerhamiella domercqiae. RNAcentral's name for it is "partial large subunit ribosomal RNA". It matches the Rfam family "Eukaryotic large subunit ribosomal RNA", at positions 69 to 595 of the family's 3401-position model. Lineage: Eukaryota; Fungi; Ascomycota; Dipodascomycetes; Dipodascales; Trichomonascaceae. The record is from RNAcentral.
AUGGGAUUGCCCUAGUAACGGCGAGUGAAGCGGCAAAAGCUCAAUUUGAAAUCCGUCAUUUGAUGGAGUUGUAAUUUGAAGAUAAUUUUUCUGGGAGUGGCCUUGCUCAAGUUCUCUGGAGUGAGACGUCAUGGAGGGUGAGAAUCCCGUGAUGCGAGGGUACCACUACUAUGUAGAGGAUUAUCGAUGAGUCGAGUUUUUUGGGAAUGCAGCUCAAAGUGGGUGGUAAAUUCCCGUCUAAAGCUAAAUAUUGGCGAGAGACCGAUAGCGAACAAGUACUGUGAAGGAAAGAUGAAAAGAACUUUGAAAAGAGAGUGAAAUAGUACGUGAAAUUGUUGAAGUGGAAGGGUUUAAAGUUAGGCAUGGCAGUUUACGUUCCACAAUCCUUUGGGACUGUGUACUCGUUUUCUGUCGGGCUAACCUCAGUUUCGGUGGAUGUGUCAAAAGCUUGGGAAUGUAGCAACUUGUUGUAUUAUAGGCCUUUGCUAAUGCUGUGCCGUAUCCGGGGGGCUGAGGA